RNAcentral lists this ribosomal RNA (301 nucleotides) under uncultured bacterium. Its description in RNAcentral is "partial 16S ribosomal RNA". It matches the Rfam family "Bacterial small subunit ribosomal RNA", at positions 509 to 808 of the family's 1533-position model. The record is from RNAcentral.
CAGCAGCCGGCGGUAAUACGGAGGGUGCAAGCGUUAAUCGGAAUUACUGGGCGUAAAGCGCACGCAGGCGGUCUGACAAGUCAGAUGUGAAAUCCCCGGGCUUAACCUGGGAACUGCAUUUGAAACUGUCAGGCUGGAGUCUUGUAGAGGGGGGUGGAAUUCCAGGUGUAGCGGUGAAAUGCGUAGAGAUCUGGAGGAAUACCGGUGGCGAAGGCGGCCCCCUGGACAAAGACUGACGCUCAGGUGCGAAAGCGUGGGGAGCAAACAGGAUUAGAUACCCGUGUAGUCCCUGUCUCUUAUA